CUUCGUAUUCUUCCACAGCUUUCUUGAACUGCAAUUUCAUGUAAUCAGAUCAUUCAUUCAUUCGUUGUCGUUGAUGGUGCUGCAUACAUACGAGUACGUUGUUGCGGUUCAAUAAAGCUGUGGGAAGAUACAAACA
This is a non-coding RNA of Gossypium arboreum, 136 nucleotides long. The record is from Rfam. Lineage: Eukaryota; Viridiplantae; Streptophyta; Magnoliopsida; Malvales; Malvaceae.